This 253-nucleotide ribosomal RNA is filed under the name uncultured bacterium. RNAcentral's name for it is "partial 16S ribosomal RNA". It matches the Rfam family "Bacterial small subunit ribosomal RNA", at positions 524 to 776 of the family's 1533-position model. The record is from RNAcentral.
UACGAAGGGUGCAAGCGUUGUUCGGAAUUACUGGGCGUAAAGCGUGCGUAGGCGGUUUGAUAAGUUGGGAGUGAAAUCCCGGGGCUUAACCUCGGAAUUGCUUUCAAAACUGUCAAGCUAGAGUAUGGCAGGGGACAGUGGAAUUCCUAGUGUAGAGGUGAAAUUCGUAGAUAUUAGGAGGAACACCAGUGGCGAAAGCGACUGUCUGGACCAUUACUGACGCUGAGGCACGAAAGCGUGGGGAGCAAACAGG